Juglans microcarpa x Juglans regia is the source of this 2396-nucleotide long non-coding RNA. RefSeq lists it as uncharacterized. The record is from RefSeq and is a predicted model, not a curated record. The transcript has 2 exons. Lineage: Eukaryota; Viridiplantae; Streptophyta; Magnoliopsida; Fagales; Juglandaceae.
UAUAUUCUAACAAUAUUUUAUUCAACUUUCAACAAAACAUCUCAUCUUCAUCUGAACUGCGUAACCAAACGAGGCCUAAGCUGAAAAUGGUUAAUCAAACAAUCAUUAACAGUUUAUGGUGUUGUCAUAGUCAUAGUGUGGGAUGGGUUGAUUUAGUUUCGAAAGGGGCUUCAGGUGGUAUUAUUGUUAUGUGGGAUAGGAGGGUGGUGGAGAUGAUAGAGUAUUAUGUGGGAAAAUUUAUGGUGGCUUGUCGAUUCAAGAGUGUGAAUGAUGGAUAUGAAUGGGCUUUUUUUUUGGGGGGGGGGGUGUCUUUGAUAUCCCUCUCACCACCCCCAUUCGAAGAAACAACUCUGUUAUCGGGAGCUGAAACUGAGUUUCUAUAAUCUAUCAUCUCUCUCACUAUCCUUACAAAACCUGCUCAACCACACCCUUUCCUCCCUUUUGGAAUCACAAUGAUACCCUUCCCCAUACCUGUACCAAACUCAAUCAGCUUCACAAACCUCCCAAUCUCGUUCUGACAUCUUUGGACCAUAAAAUCUCUAUGACCCUCCCUUUUUGUCUGAAAAGAUUCUUUUUUGCCUGAUAACCUCAGCCAAUCCUCCACCACCUUUGCCAUCCAAACAAUCAUUCCUCCAUUGAGAAGAAGGAACUUAGACAACUUCCUGCUCCUCUCAGUAAUACAAAAAAAGUUUCCACCUUUCCUACUAAUCACGAACCUCUUCACUUCAAUCCAAAAACUACGCUCCAUCUUCAACUAACUAUUAGUAAAAUUUAAGAAGAAAAAGGAAAUUGAAACAGGAGAACAAUAACAGACAGAUUAAGGAUCAUCCCUGGCGAGAAGCACCAGGAAUGGAAUAUCGCAGAAGAUAAAUUAACUUUCAGAUUUGAAGAUAUCUCGGGUCUAAGGAUUAAUCUUAACAAAUCUGAAAUUGUUCCAGUGGGUGCAGUAGCCAAUAUUUCAGAUUUGGCUGAUAUUUUGGAAUGUAAGAUUUCUUCGUUGCCGCUGAAGUAUCUUGGUCUUCUGUUGGGUGCCUCUCACAAAUCUGUUUCCAUAUGGGAAGGGGUGAUUGAGAAGAUCGAGAGAAGGUUGGCUGGAUGGAAAAAACUAUACUUGUCUAAAGGGGGACUUUGAUGAAGAGUACGCUGUCUAAUCUUCCCACGUAUUUUCUUUUACUUUUCCCUUUGCCAGCAGGGGUUGUAAAAAGUAUUGAGAAAAUUUAUCGCAAUUUCUUAUGGGGAGGUAUAAGAGAGGAGAAAAAAGUUUCAUAUGGUUAGUUCGAACAAGGUUUGUCAACCAAUUUUGUGGAGGAUUGGGGGUGAGAAAUUUGAGGAUGUUUAACAAAGCACUUCUUGGGAAAUGGCUCUGGAGAUAUCAUUUAGAGAGAUGCUUUAUGGAAGAAUGUUGUUGCAGUUAAAUAUGGGAGUGGGUGGGGGGAUUGGUGUUCUAAUGAAGUUAGAGGAGCGUAUGGGGUGAGUUUAUGGAAGUUCAUUAGGAAAGGUUGGGGGGAGUUUUCGAAACAUAUUACAUUUAAGGUGGGGGAAGGGAAGAAGAUUCUUUUUUGGCAUGAUAUUUGGUGUGGGGAAUCAGCUCUCAAAUCUGAGUUUCCCUCUCUAUUUAAGAUUGCAAGGGAUCAAAAUGCUGCUGUGAAAGAUUAUUUCCAACAUACGAAUUAUAAUAUUCUGUGGAAUGUUGAUUUUAUCCGAGAGGUAAAUGACUGGGAAGUAAAUGAUGUUUCUGAUUUUUUGGGAAGAAUUUAUAAUUCAAAAGUGAUGCAGGGAAGAGAGGACAGUUUACUGUGGGACCAUGCUGGAAAGUCCAGGUUUUCUGUUAGUUCUUUUUAUAAGGUGCUGACUUGUCAUUCUGGUUGUGCUUUCCCUUGGAAAACCAUUUGGAGAGUGAAGGUUCCUACUAAGGUGGCGUUUUUCAGUUGGGUGGUUGCUCUAUGGAAAGUUUUGACCACGGAUAACCUUAGAAAAUGUGGUAUGUGCGUUGCUGAUUGGUGUGUCAUGUGCAAGAAGGAUGGUGAAUCUGUAAAUCAACUCUUUCUUCAUUGUGAGGCGGCAAAGUCUUUAUGGUAUGAGGUUUUGAGGGAAGGAUAUGUGUAGCUGCCAGAUGGAAUAUGAUUCCUUUGUGUUUAAUGUGGUGUAUUUGGCUGGAAAGGAAUUGGAGAUGUUUUGAAGACAAAGAGUCUUCUCUCGGAGAACUUCGGAAUUUUUUCUUUUCUACUUUGUGUUUGUGGGCUACGAUUUUUGUAAGGGAUGAUGAUAAUGUACUGAAUCUGUUUGUCUUUUUCCUGCUUCUAGAGCGUAGUAGGUAUUUCCUUUGUAUACUUCUUGUGUACUUGGGCUGUGCCUAUUCUCGGUAAUAAAAUCUCUUAUUAAUUAUAAAAAAAAAA